RNAcentral lists this transfer RNA (74 nucleotides) under Aphidius gifuensis. Its description in RNAcentral is "tRNA-Val". The record is from RNAcentral. Lineage: Eukaryota; Metazoa; Arthropoda; Insecta; Hymenoptera; Braconidae.
GUUUUCGUGGUGUAGUUGGUUAUCACAUCCGCCUAACACGCGGAAGGUCCUCAGUUCGAACCUGGGCGAAAACA